Molecule: ribosomal RNA, 1464 nt
Filed under: Triticum aestivum (bread wheat)
Lineage: Eukaryota; Viridiplantae; Streptophyta; Magnoliopsida; Poales; Poaceae
Description: partial small subunit ribosomal RNA
Source: RNAcentral
AUGACGGAGGUGGCGCUGUUCCGGGGCCCGACCAACCUCGCUUCGCCCGCAAGCCGCGGCUCCUCCUCCUCCUCCUCCUCCUCCACCUCCCUGCGCUAUUUAGCCGAUAGCGACGUGCUCCAGAGAGGCACCACCGGCAGCGCCCAGAGCCCUGCAGGAUCCGCGGAGCGACAGGCCGGAGGAUCGGAGGAGGAAGAGGAGGAGGAGGAGCGCUGGUCCUUCUUGGCGCUGCUUCUCGAGCUGCUGCGGAAGUCGCUGCUCCGGUGCAGAGCGGAGGACGGCGGCCAAGGCCAGGGCGGGAUGGAGAUAGGGUUGCCCACGGAUGUGCAGCACGUGGCGCACGUCACGUUCGACCGGUUCCAUGGAUUCCUCGGGCUCCCCGUCGAGUUCGAGCCCGAGGUGCCCCGCCGCGCUCCCAGUGCCAGUGCUAGUGUCUUCGGCGUUUCAACACAAUCGAUGCAGUGUUCAUAUGAUUCCAGAGGAAACAGUGUUCCAACGAUUCUCUUGAUGAUGCAAAGACGUCUGUAUGAACAAGGAGGUCUUCAGGCAGAAGGUAUUUUUCGUAUAAAUGCGGAGAAUAGCCAGGAAGAGUUUGUGAGAGAUCACUUAAAUAGUGGAACUGUGCCGGAUGGCAUUGAUGUUCACUGUUUGGCGGGUCUAAUCAAAGCCUGGUUUAGGGAACUGCCGAGUGGGGUGCUGGAUUCUAUCCCACCUGAACAGGUGAUGCAAUGCCAAUCUGAAGAGGACUGUGCUCGGGUUGCCAAAUGCCUUCCACCAACUGAAGCAGCCUUACUUGACUGGGCUGUUAAUUUGAUGGCUGAUGUUGUCCAAGAAGAACAGAUAAACAAGAUGAGCGAUCGCAAUGUUGCUAUGGUGUUCGCACCAAAUAUGACCCAGAUGGCAGACCCUUUGACUGCACUGAUGUACGCGGUGCAAGUGAUGAAUUUCCUCAAGAUGCUAAUACAGAAGACCCUCGAGGAUAGAGAAGAGUCCAAUCUGGAAGAUGCCUCUUUGCCACAGAAGGACCCAUCUGAUGAAAAUGGCCAUCAGAACCCCAGUCUCCCCGUUAAUCCUCAACCUGAAGAAACAUCUGGGCGCCCCUCUUUUGUCAGCGAGGAGCCUAUUGUGUACAGUCCUACACACAGUGCUGAAGACAAGCCUCCUGUGGAAGGCGAUUCCAUAGCUUCCGUUGUCCAUACAAGUGAUGUCCGGUCGAGCGUGGAAGGGUCCGCUAGUUGCUCGCAGCCUGCUCUUGUCGCUUCGUCUGCCAUUGCUGAUGCUUCCUGUGCUACAGCUGCCAACUUACUUCCGAGCAGAGGGAGCCGAGGCCUGAAUAGCAGGAGGACUAGAAAGGGCAAGCGGCAGUGCGGAACGCCCGCCGCUCCUCCAGCUGAAAAAUCGAGGGGCGCGAGCAUCGUGAGCCGGAUAAACUCCAAGGUCGAACGGAUCGAAGCGUGGAGGUAG